This is a long non-coding RNA of Bos taurus (domestic cattle), 1196 nucleotides long. The record is from Ensembl. NCBI's taxonomy places the organism in Eukaryota, Metazoa, Chordata, Mammalia, Artiodactyla, Bovidae.
GUAGGGAAUGGGGGACGGGCAGUCGUUCGGGGAAGGGGCUGGGCGAGUCUCGCGAGGUGCGGGAACUGGUUGGGGGCCCGAGGCAUUGUGGGAGGUGAUGCUGGGAAGGGGCGGUGGCCGGCUGCCCUCCUACCCCGAGCUAUGUUUAACCCCUUCGGCGCGUCUCGUCUUCGGGCCGACGCGCGGCUAAGGGUGGGAAUAGAGAACUGGUAGCUCGACUCCCAGCGCCCACUUUUCCCCCUCUCCGCCUAAGCUGUUCUCACUGACACUUCUUGUAGGUGACUAGACACAGGACUUUCCCUUUUGGUCCUCCCCUAAAUGACUCACCGCCGCAUAAUAAUGAGACAGAAGACUUAUACCAGUAAAACGGUUAUUGCACGAUUGAUGGACUUAAACAGUUCCCCAUUUCCUCCUGUGCUUUCAUGCCGCUCUACGUUUGCAGAAGCUGCACCCGCAGCCUACAGCAUUCUUACCACCUGGUGAACUUGAUGAUAAGAUUACUGGUAGUGUAAAGAACUUGGACUUUGGGGCCAUACUUACCAGAAUGCACCUGAGACCUUUUUAGAAGCACUAUCCCAGAGGGAACACAGAACAUGGAGUCAAAAGAACCUUGAGCCGAAUCCUGGCUGAACCAUUCCGUGGCUAUCACAGUAUUUUUGAGAUGAGAAUCAGCGCAAAACACCUGGCAGGUUGGAAGAGGGCGUGCAGGGGGAACCCUGACAUUCAGUUCAGUUCAGUUCAGUCGCUCAGUCGUGUCCGACUCUGCGACCCCAUGAAUCACAGCACGCCAGGCCUCCCUGUCCAUCACCAACUCCCGGAGUUCACCCAGACUCAAGUCCAUCGAGUCAGUGAUGCCAUCCAGCUAUCUUAGGGACUUUCCUGAUGGCUCAGUUGGUAAAGAAUUCACCUGCAAUGCAAGAGACCUGGGUUCGAUCCCUGAGUCGGGAAGAUCCCCUGAAGAAGGAAAAUGGCAACCCAGUCCAGUAUCCUUGCCUGGAAAAUCCUGUAGACAGAGGAGCCUGGUGGAGAUUUCAGGACCCCACGAAGGAACCCAUCCCAGUUUUCAGUCUCUUUAAUGCCAGAGAGUUGUACCCAUAUCUACCAUAAAUCUUUUUCAUCUUAAUUUAAGCCAUUUCCUCCAUUCUUUCCUCUGUGAAAAAGGAAAAUAAACUUUAAAGUGCAUUUUGACACCAAAA